RNAcentral lists this ribosomal RNA (460 nucleotides) under uncultured bacterium. Its description in RNAcentral is "partial 16S ribosomal RNA". It matches the Rfam family "Bacterial small subunit ribosomal RNA", at positions 338 to 795 of the family's 1533-position model. The record is from RNAcentral.
CCUACGGGCGACUGCAGUGAGGAAUAUUGGUCAAUGGACGAGAGUCUGAACCAGCCAAGUAGCGUGAAGGAUGACUGCCCUAUGGGUUGUAAACUUCUUUUAUAUGGGAAUAAAACGUUCCACGUGUGGGAUUUUGUAUGUACCAUAUGAAUAAGGAUCGGCUAACUCCGUGCCAGCAGCCGCGGUAAUACGGAGGAUCCGAGCGUUAUCCGGAUUUAUUGGGUUUAAAGGGAGCGUAGGUGGAUUGUUAAGUCAGUUGUGAAAGUUUGCGGCUCAACCGUAAAAUUGCAGUUGAAACUGGCAGUCUUGAGUACAGUAGAGGUGGGCGGAAUUCGUGGUGUAGCGGUGAAAUGCUUAGAUAUCACGAAGAACUCCGAUUGCGAAGGCAGUUCACUGGACUGCAACUGACACUGAGGCUCGAAAGUGUGGGUAUCAAACAGGAUUAGAUACCCUUGUAGUC